RNAcentral lists this ribosomal RNA (832 nucleotides) under uncultured low G+C Gram-positive bacterium. RNAcentral's name for it is "bacterial SSU rRNA". It matches the Rfam family "Bacterial small subunit ribosomal RNA", at positions 535 to 1369 of the family's 1533-position model. The record is from RNAcentral. Lineage: Bacteria; Bacillati; Bacillota.
CAAGCGUGUCGGAAUUACUGGGCGUAAAGAGUACGUAGGCGGUAUGGUAAGUCUGAUAUUAAAGACUGAGGCUUAACCUCAGGACUGUAUCGGAAACUGCCAAACUAGAGGACAAUAGAGGAAGUCGGAAUUCUCAGUGUAGCGGUGAAAUGCGUAGAUAUUGGGAAGAACACCAGUGGCGAAAGCGGACUUCUGGGUUGUUACUGACGCUGAGGUACGAAAGCGUGGGGAGCAAACGGGAUUAGAUACCCCGGUAGUCCACGCUGUAAACGAUGGAUACUAGAUGUAGCCGGUCUCGACCCCGGCUGUGUCGUAGCUAACGCAAUAAGUAUCCCGCCUGGGGAGUAUGGCCGCAAGGUUGAAACUCAAAGGAAUUGACGGGGGCCCGCACAAGCGGUGGAGGAUGUGGUUUAAUUCGACGCAACGCGAAGAACCUUACCAAGGCUUGACAUCUACCGAAUCUGUUAGAAAUAGCGGAGUGCCCGAAAGGGAACGGUAAGACAGGUGGUGCAUGGCUGUCGUCAGCUCGUGUCGUGAGAUGUUGGGUUAAGUCCCGCAACGAGCGCAACCCUCGAUGCUAGUUACCAUCAUUAAGUUGGGGACUCUAGCGUGACUGCCGGUGAUAAGCCGGAGGAAGGUGAGGACGACGUCAAGUCAUCAUGCCCCUUACGUCUUGGGCUACACACGUCCUACAAUGGCAUAGACAAAGGGCUGCAAGCCAGCGAUGGUAAGCGAAUCCCAUAAACUAUGUCUCAGUUCGGAUUGCAGGCUGCAACUCGCCUGCAUGAAGUUGGAAUCGCUAGUAACCGUAGAUCAGCACGCUACGUGAUAC